RNAcentral lists this long non-coding RNA (37155 nucleotides) under Populus trichocarpa (black cottonwood). Its description in RNAcentral is "long non-coding RNA (PTRI_LNC004531)". Lineage: Eukaryota; Viridiplantae; Streptophyta; Magnoliopsida; Malpighiales; Salicaceae. The record is from RNAcentral.
GAUGAGCUCGGCUACUAGGCUAUGUCUGAAUGAGAUUAUGAGCUCGUUAGCUGAGCCUUUUCCAUAUUGGCAAGUUGUGGACUCUUAUUGGGUUUUGCAUGUUGGAUUUGGCUCCGAUUUGAUGAAUUAUUUUUUCUUAUUUGGUGAAUGUAUUUUAUCUAUAAAGUAGUAAGUAAAUAGCUAUUCCUGGAAUAAUAAAGGAAUGUCGAAGUUGAUUCGGCUUUUUAUGGUGAAAAGAAAAAAGAUCAAUCCUUCUGUAUUUUGGAAUGCUAGAUAUAGGUACGGUGCUCGUAUUGUUUUCUUCACUUGAGUUAACUGCCCCACAUCAUUCCUGCUUCUUUAUUUUAUUUUCCCCAAAGAAGUUUAAAUAUGGGCUACGGUGCUCAUCAAAUGCAAUAGAUUUUGGAAAUUUAAACAAAGGUAUUUUCUGAUAUUACUAGAGGGCUACGGUGCUUGUGCUGGAGUUUUUACUGCCCCACCUAUCAAAUUGCGGUGGUCAUAUGCAAAGAAAAAUCACUAAAAAGAGUAUCAUCAAUAUUCCAAGAAAGACGGUCCUUCCAAAAUCAUCGAGUUAAUGGACCACAUACCGAUACUGACAUUAAUUGUGUUUUCUUAUGGAAUCACACUAUUGCCGCUCCCAACACGGCAAAGUGACUCAGGUGGUGAUUUUGUUGUGGUAGCUGGAGGUGGAGGAGUGAGGGAGGUUGGUGUGAUGGAUAUGGAGUUAUCAGUACUACUAGUUGUGCUCUCAUCUACGCAGCUUCCAUCCAUUUCUUUUUUGUUGUUGUUGUUGUUGUGAAGAGAGAGGAGCAAGCGAGACAGAGACAGAGAGGGAUGAGGUGUUUUUGUUGACUAGAACUAGAGGUAUGAUUUGAGAAUAUAUAUAGAUAGAGGGUAGAGGUGUUGGGUAAAGUUUUGGGCUUUUAAUUUUAAUUUUUGAUUUUAUGAGUUAAAUUAAGAAAUACGGGGUGGGGUGCACUGUGUAGUCUUGGGAAGAUUCAUGGAGUUAGGGUCGUAGUAUGUGUGUGUGUGUGUGGAGGGUUGUGUAUGUAGGUAGGGUGGGGCCUCCUUCUUAUUACCAUAGGCAUGCUGGAUAUUUUUCCAGGACAUUAAACCAAAACACUGUCAGUCUCGACUCAACUACUUCAAGGAAAGUUUGCCAAUUGCGUGUCUUGGAAGCAACCGGAUUAUCUACUCUAUGAAACAAAGGGCCUACAAGACGGGAAUGAGUCCAUGAAAAAGCCAUGCACUUAAUUCUUUCAUAAAUUUCGCAGGCAAGCAUUAGACGCAAACAUCGCCUACAAGACGCGAGCAAUUAUUUUCUACACGGUCUCUUUCCAUGAAAGGAUGGAUUGACUGCCUGGCCUUCUUAGUUUUCAAAUGCCACUGUUCGUGAUAAAAAAUAGAAUGCCUGUUCUUUAGGGUGACAGAUUGUUGAGACCAAUAAAAACAAACUGAGAAGUACGAGAAACCAAUGGUGGUGAAAUUUCAUGUUCUAUUUUUCACCCAUCAACUCACAUUGUUCAAGUUCCAUUUUAUUUGACGCUGCUUCACCAUGACAGUUGGCAUUGCAUUUCUUCAGUUCUUAAUUUUUGGUGCUAUGAAUUGCUUAACAGUGUAAGCUAGACAAUAAACACCGGUUUUGGACUUUCUCUACACCACAACUAUAUCAAUCUUUCAAGAUUACAGGUUCGAUCCCUUCAGAAAUUGGGAAUUCGAAGAAUUUGUAUGGACUUUCUCUACAUCACUGGUUCGAUUCCUUUUUCAUUAGACAAUUUAAGAAACUUGGCAUUUCUAUAUCUCUCUUAUAACCAAAUCAACGGAUCCAUCCCUUUGAAAAUAUGGAACUUGGCAAAUUUGAAAGCAUUAGAUCUCAGUUCAAACAAUAUCAGUGGUUCCAUUCAUAUCACAGUAGGCAGUUUAACUCAAGGUUCUCAAUUCCGUUCCGGUUUACAUUUUGUUUUUUCAAUUGAAAUGACAUGUUUCGCUUUCAAAGCAUUUCAACAUGCCGUUUCGGGAUUGUACUGUUUAUAUGUGUGUAUAAUUCAAAAUAUUAAUUCAACAAACAUAAUUUCAAUUCAAAUUGAAAGAUAAACUAACUUGAAAUUAUGCUUUUCAAAUUUUAAACACAAGUAAAAAAAAAGGGAGUUGAAUCAAUAUGACUCGAUCAACUAAAUGGGUUUGAAGAUAGUCUGAACGAUUGGUAAAAAUAUAGUUUGACUAAAACAAAUUCAAGAUUACAUAUUUUUUCUUAAAAAAUAUUAAGACGAGAAUAUAUUGGAUCGAUUCAGGUUAACCUUUCAAAUUCGUGACCUCGAUAAUGAGACCAUGAUAACCCUAAAUAAAACAAACCAAAAUAAGUUAUGAAUCUCAAUUACAAGUAAACCCAUUAUUGAAUGAUGAAAGUAGUAAAAAUUCAAUCUAAAAAAAAACAAUAAAAUAACCUUUUUGAACAAAAUUACAAAUUUGAAUAAAAUUAUAAAAAUAUCAUCAGCAGUCUUGCAAGACCUUUUUAAACUCUCAUUACCCUAAAAGUUUAACCUGAGAUUAAAUAAUAUGCAAAGAGAUUCCUCGUAAAAUUUUAACCCGAUUCAUCAGUCGGAUUAAAAGAUGCAAUUGAUACCGUAAAAUUAGAGAGUUUUUUUUUAAAAAAAAAGCAAAAAAAAAAAAAACACUAUUUGGCCGGAAUGGAACCGGAAUGUUCCAGCCAAAACGAAACCAGAACAUUCCGGCUGAGAUUUCCAAAACAGGCCGAGAUUCUGAUUGAGAUGAAAUUUAUUUCGGUUUAUUUUGUUUUUUAAGCUGGAACAAGAAUACUAGUCAUUCCGGACAGAACAAAAUGGAAUUAACAACCUUGGUAUAACCAUUUUGAGAUAUCUAAACCCCUAUUCCAAUCAAAUCAACGGAUCCAUCCCUUUGGAAAUAUGGAACUUGACAAAUUUGGAAGCCAUAGAUCCCGAUUCAAACAAUAUCAGCGGUUCCAUUCAUUCCAGAGUAGGCAGUUUAACCAGUUUGAGAUAUCUUGACCUGUCUUCCAAUCAAAUCAACGGAUCCAUCNNNNNNNNNNNNNNNNNNNNNNNNNNNNNNNNNNNNNNNNNNNNNNNNNNNNNNNNNNNNNNNNNNNNNNNNNNNNNNNNNNNNNNNNNNNNNNNNNNNNUCAUCGAGACAUAUCAAACAAUAUUGUUCUGUUGAUUCAGAAUCCAAGUCUUUUGUUGCUGAUCUUGGUGUGGCUAGACUUCUCGAUCCUGAUUCGUCGAAGCAUACCGUACUUGCUGGUACCUAUGGAUACAUUGCCCCACUUAAAACUAUUUCUUCUCAAUAGACAUUGAUGGGAAGGCAUCCGGGAAAUUCCUAUCAUCAUAUGCUCAGGUUAUUACACUAAAAGAAGUGUUAGAUCCUCGUUUGUCACCUCUAACACAAAAAAUUGUCAUACAAAAUAUAUGUAUCAUUGCAACUCUGGCAUUUUCUUGCUUACUUUCGAAUCCAAAAUCUUGACCUUCAAUGAAAUUCAUGUCUCAAGAAUUUUAUCUCGUAAGAGAUCAUUGUGGCAGGUCUUGAGAUUUCUUUGCUGAAGCUGCGAAAUCUUAGCAUGCACAUAAAUGUAGGAGAGAUCAUGGUUCCUUGCUGAAAAUAUCAACUUUGAUCUCAUAUUGAACUGAGCAAGAGCCUCGAAGAGCAUGCAUGUUUGAUAAUGUUUUCACUAUUUCCACUUCAUCUACAAGACGUGGGCAAUUCGGAUUGACUAAGAAUCAAAUCCACAAAUUAAUGGCACGUACGAUGAUCAGAAUACCACUAUGUAUUAGCAUUAUUUUUCUACUCGGUCUCUUUCCAUGAAAAUCAGGGAGAAUACAAUUAACUGAUUGGCCUUCUUAAUUUCCAAAAUCCACUAUUGGUGAUUUGUAAGCCUUUUUCUUAAUCACAACGCGUGAAAGACCAGUGAAAGACCAGAGGAACUUGACUUGGAAUGAGUUCAUGAAAAAACCAUGCACUUCAUUCAUAAACUUAGCAUUAUCAUAGCAUUAGACACAAACAUGGCAUCCAUUGAUUAUGAGCCAAAACUUCUUGCAAUUUUAAGCAUCUCAAUUUUCUUGUCCUGUAUUUUUGUAUCUGUGGCUGCACUUGACUCAGCCUUGCUAGCAUCAGAAGGAAAGGCUUUGGUUGAGAGUGGAUGGUGGAGUGUCAACAGAAACCUCAUCUCAUUUCGUUGCAUGUGGCUUGGCAUAGUUUGUGAUCGGGCUGGAAACAAAUCCCAAGCAGCUAUUGAGUCUUUUUAUACCAGCGCGGGAUUUCAAAUUCUUGCAAGAAUCGUACACGAUUGGAUGGUAAUAUCACUAACGAUCCAUUUUUUAUUUUCCUAUAAUUAUUUUUAAAGUUGUUUUUUAUUUAAAAAUAUAUUUAAAUAAUAUAUAUAUAUAUAUAUAUAUAUUUUAAAAAAUUUAUUUUUAACAUCAAUAUAUAAAAAAAAUCUAAAAUAAUUUAAAACAAUAAAAUAAAAUAAAAUAAUUAUUUUUUUAAAUACUUUUAAAAUCCAAAAAUAAACAACAACCUGACUCUAAAAUUACCAGAAUCCACAAACAUUGUAAUAUUAUUAAUUUUAAUUUUAAUUUAUACUAUUUUUUUGUUCUUAUCUUUAUUCUUUUGUAAUUUAUUUUCUUAAAAAAAUAUUAUAUAAAGACUAAAAAAUGAUAUUUCAAUAUAGCAAUUGCAACAUUGUUCUAUUUUUAUAUUACAUUAAAAAUAAGCUUGAGAUUUUACAUUUCUUUACUAACACAUAUAAUCUUCAUUAUGUUUUAUUAUAUGUAAGCUUUAACUUUUUAUUUCAAAAUUAUAUUUUUUACUCGCCAUCAAAAAACACGUUAAUAACAUUCACACAUUAAUUCAUUUACGUUAGAAAAAAACAAUAAUCAACUUGCAGCUAGGCAAAUAGAAUAGACACGUUAAUAUUUUUUUUUCAUUUAUCAGCAGAGAUAAUUCUCGAUUUAUUUAAUUAAAUGCAUGUAUAUGUCUUUUGAUUUACAAUUAGAUUUCUUUUUGUACAAAAACACAUUUGAAAAGCUUGCAUAUGUUUUUUCUUCCAAAGAAAUUAUCUGACCCGCAGAGAAGUGCAUGUCAAAUAACUAGUAUUAUAAACUAAAAGAGGUGAUGAUUUUAUUGUAUAUCACCUUACAAAACACUAUUCAUUUUAAUAGUGUUUUUUUUUUUUCAAAUCUAUGUUUCUCCCCAAUUUCAUACUUCAACAUUUAAUUUAUUGGAGCUUGGGGUUCAUAAUUUAUUAUGUUUGCUUUAUACGAGGUUAGCCUAGUCUCAUAAUCUAUGUCAUCCUUCAACAUUGUUCAUUUGAGUUUUUUUUAAUAGAUAUGUUUUUUCAAUCUCAUCCUUCAACAUUGUGUUGAUUGAGAAUUAUGCUUAAUGAUUUAUUUUAGUUUAUUUUUUAUGAGGUUAUCACGAUUUCAUGACUCGAGUUACGAGUUUGGUGGGUUAACCCAUUUGACUCGAGUUUUUUUUCAUGUUUUUUUUAAUUGAUAUUUUUAUAAUUUUAUCUUUCAGCAUUGAAUUGAUUAUGAAUUAGACUUCAUGAUUUAUUUUAGCUUGUUUUCUAUGAGCUUAUCUCGAUCUUAUGACUUGGGUCACGUGUUUUGCAGGUUAACCCGUGUAGACUAAGGUUGUUUUAUUGUGUCCUGUUUUUAGAUUGAAUUUUUUUUCUUCAAUUUCAACCUUCAACAAUAGGUUUAUUGAAUAUUGAGCUUUAUAAUUUGUUUUGAUUUGCUUCUAUGACUCAUGUUAUUUUUUUGUUUACUUUCUAUAAGGUUAUUUUGAUUUCUUGACCCGGAUCACGAGUUUGACAAUUUAACUCGGGUUAUUUUUUUUUGUCAUUUUUUAUUUUUUUUUCAAUUUUAUUCUUUAGCAUUUGAUUGAUUUGGAAUAAGGCUUCAUAUUUUUGUUUUGGUCUUGCUUUUUAUAAAGUUAUCCCGGUCUCAUUACCAGGGUCAUAGUUUGAUGAGUUAACCCGAGUUGACUUAGGUCUUUUUUGUUUUUAUUUUUUUAAUUUUAUCCCUAAAAAUUGAGAUUUCUUAUCUCGAGUCGUAGGUCAACUCAGGUUUGUUUGUCAUUUGUUUAGUUUAAUUUUUUUUUCCUUAAUUUAUCCUUCAAUAUUGGGUUGAUUUGAGAUUAAGCUUCAUAUUUGUUUUUACUUUCUAUGAGGUUAUCUCGAUCUUAUUACAUAGGUUACGAGUCUGACUGGUUAACUUGAGUUGACUCAAUCUUUUUAAUUGUUUUUUUUUUCAAUUUCAUCCUUCAACAUUGGAUUGAUCGAAAAUUGAACUUCAUAAUUUGUUUUGAUUUGUUUUAUAUAGAGUUAUCUCAGUCAUAUGACACGAGUUGUAGUUUUGACAGGUUAACACAAGUUGACUUUAGUUGUUUGUUUUUUGGUCUCUUUUUUUAUUGAUUUUUUUUUAAUUUUAUCUUUUAACAUUGAUUUAAUUGGGAAUUGAGUUUUAUAUUUGGUUUUGAUUUGCUUUCUAUGUGGUUGUUCCGGUCUUAUGAUUCGGAUUGAGAAUUUGACAAGUUGACCCGAGUUGAUCCAAAAUAUUUUCAACUCAAUAUUUUUUUUAAAACUUGCCAUCUUAAAUUUUUUUAGUAAAACAAUAUUUUUAACAGUUUUUCAGGUUGUCUUUGGAUCUGUUAAGUUAACCGGGUCAUAUCAAGUUAACCCUUACAUGUUUUAAUUUUUUUCAACUAGAAAACACGUUAAUAACACCUAGAUAUUUUUUGCAUUAAAAAAAUUAAUCUGACGUGCAACAUAGUGCGGACAAUGAUCUAGUCUACUCUAUUUAUGAAAGUAAGGGUCCAAGGGGUUGUUUGAGAGUGUGGUAGUGAUUAUUUUUCAAAGUGUGUUUUGCUCAGAAAUGCAUUAAAAUAAUUUUUUUAUAUUUUUUAAAAAUUAUUUUUGAUACCAACACAUUAAAAUGAUCUAAACACAAAAAAAAAAUAUUAAUUUGAAAAAAAGAAAAAAAUUGCAAAAUUAUUUUAAAAAUACUUUUGAUAGGCAAAAAAAAAAAAAAAGAGACCUUAAAAGAGAUGGAAUAAGGAUAGACUAAGAAUGAAAUCCACAAAUUAAUGACAAGAGGAUCAUAAAACAUGUAUUUGGAUUAUUUUCUGCUCGAUCUCUUUCCAUGAAAGUCAGGGAGAAUAGAUUAACUGACUGCCCUUCUUAAUUUCCAAAUGAUACUAUUGGUGAUUGGUGAACCUUUUUCUCCUUUGCCUUAGUUAUUGGAAUUGAUAGAAUUAAAAGUCCUGCAGUGAACGCAUGGACCCAUGGAUCAUCUGUGGUUUCAAAAGACAGAAAGAAAAGUACACAUGAAACACAGACGAUCUUGACUUGGAACGAGUCCAUGAAAAAGCCAUGCACUUCAUUCAUAAACUUAGCAUUAUCAUUGAAGGCAAGCAUUACACGCAAACAUGGCAUCCAUUGAUUAUGAGCCAAAACUUCUUGCAAUUUUAAGCACCUCAAUUUUCUUGUCCAGUAUUUUUGUAUCUAGUACUGGUCUUGUGGCUGCACUUGAUGACUCGGCCUUGCUAGCAUCAGAAGGCAAGGCUUUGGUUGAGAGUGGAUGGUGGAGUGACUACAGCAACCUCACCUCACAUCGUUGCAACUGGACUGGCAUAGUUUGUGAUGGGGCUGGAAGCAUCACUAAGAUUUCCCCACCUCCAGAGUUCCUCAAGGUGGGAAAUAAGUUUGGAAAGAUGAACUUUUCUUGCUUCUCAAACCUUGUCCGUCUCCACCUGGCCAACCAUGAGCUCAGUGGGAGCAUCCCGCCUCAAAUUUCUAUCCUUCCACAACUCAGAUACCUCAACCUGUCCUCAAAUAAUCUAGCAGGUGAGUUACCGUCUUCACUUGGAAAUCUCAGCCGAUUAGUUGAGCUUGAUUUUUCUUCCAAUAAUUUAACCAAUUCCAUCCCUCCAGAACUAGGCAAUCUUAAAAAUCUUGUUACUUUGAGCUUGUCUGAUAACAUCUUCAGCGGCCCAAUCCCUUCGGCACUUUGUCAUUUGGAAAAUCUAAGGCAUUUAUUUAUGGAUCAUAAUAGUCUCGAAGGUGCCCUCCCUAGAGAAAUAGGGAACAUGAAAAAUCUAGAGAUUUUGGACGUGAGUUAUAAUACACUUAAUGGUCCAAUCCCUCGAACAAUGGGUAGUUUAGCCAAGUUGAGGUCUUUGAUCCUUUCUCGCAACGCAAUCGAUGGAUCCAUUCCUUUGGAAAUAGGAAAUUUGACGAACCUUGAAGAUUUAAAUCUUUGCUCUAAUAUCCUAGUUGGUUCAAUUCCUUCAACGAUGGGUCUUUUACCCAACUUGAUUUCUCUAUUUCUUUGUGAGAACCAUAUCCAAGGAUCCAUUCCUUUGAAAAUAGGAAAUUUGACGAAUCUAGAAUAUUUAGUUCUUGGCUCUAAUAUCCUAGGUGGUUCAAUUCCUUCAACUUCGGGCUUUUUAUCCAAUUUGAUUUUUGUAGAUAUUUCCAGUAACCAAAUCAAUGGACCCAUCCCCUUAGAAAUAGGAAAUUUGACGAAACUACAAUAUUUAAAUCUUGAUGACAACAAGAUCACUGGUUUGAUUCCUUUUUCAUUAGGCAAUUUAAGAAACUUGACAACUCUAUAUCUCUCUCACAACCAAAUCAACGGAUCCAUCCCUUUAGAAAUACAGAACUUGACAAAGUUGGAAGAAUUAUAUCUGUAUUCAAACAAUAUCAGUGGCUCGAUUCCUACUACAAUGGGCCGUUUAACCAGUUUGAGAUUUCUAUCCCUCUAUGACAACCAAAUCAACGGAUCCAUCCCUUUGGAAAUACAGAACUUGACAAAGUUGGAAGAAUUAUAUCUGUAUUCAAACAAUAUCAGUGGCUCGAUUCCUACUAUAAUGGGCAGUUUAAGAAAACUAAACCUUUCUCGAAACCAAAUGAAUGGACCCAUCUCUUCAUCUUUGAACAAUUGUAAUAAUUUGACCUUGCUAGAUUUGAGCGGCAAUAAUUUAAGUGAAGAGAUACCCUACAAUCUAUAUAAUUUGACCUCUUUACAAAAAGCGAAUUUUAGUUACAAUAAUCUCUCAGGCCCUGUUCCCUUGAAUUUGCAACCACCCUUUGAUUUUUAUUUCACAUGUGAUUUACUUCUUCAUGGGCAUAUUACCAACGAUUCUGCAACUUUUAAAGCUACUGCAUUUGAGGGCAACAGAUAUUUACACCCUGAUUUCUCAAACUGUUCGUUACCUUCAAAAACCAACAGAAUGAUUCAUUCCAUCAAGAUAUUACUUCCUAUCACUGCCAUUUCACUUUGUCUCUUGUGUCUCGGAUGUUUUUAUCUAUCUCGAUGCAAGGCUACCCAACCUGAGCCAACAUCAUUAAAGAAUGGAGACUUGUUUUCCAUAUGGAAUUAUGAUGGGAGGAUUGCAUACGAAGACAUCAUUGCAGCGACCGAGAACUUUGACCUCAGAUAUUGUAUCGGAACCGGUGGUUAUGGGAAUGUCUACCGAGCACAACUUCCAAGUGGGAAAUUAGUUGCCUUGAAGAAACUUCAUCGUCGAGAGGCAGAGGAGCCGGCUUUUGACAAGAGUUUAAAAAAUGAGGUGGAACUGCUCACACAAAUACGUCACAGGAGCAUUGUAAAGCUUUAUGGAUUCUGUUUACACCAGCGCUGCAUGUUUCUUGUUUACGAGUACAUGGAAAAGGGAAGCUUGUUUUGUGCCUUGAGAAAUGAUGUUGGAGCCGUGGAACUGAAGUGGAUGAAAAGAGCACACAUCAUCAAAGACAUUGCUCACGCAUUAUCUUACUUGCAUCAUGAUUGCAACCCACCAAUUGUUCAUCGAGACAUAUCAAGCAGCAAUGUUCUGUUGAAUUCAGUAUCCAAGUCUUUUGUUGCUGAUUUUGGCGUGGCUAGACUUCUCGAUCCAGAUUCGUCCAACCAUACUGUACUUGCUGGUACCUAUGGAUACAUUGCCCCAGGUCAAAUAUUUCUUCUUUAUAUACGUGUAUCACUCAUGUCAUGCACACCAACAUUAAAGCAAACUCUCUCUUAUAUAUAUUUUUUUAAUUUCAUUUUGUUUAUGGACAGAGCUGGCUUAUACUAUGGUGGUGACAGAGAAAUGUGAUGUCUAUAGCUUUGGAGCAGUGGCGCUAGAAACGUUGAUGGGAAGGCAUCCAGGAGAUAUCCUAUCAUCAUCUGCUCGGGCUAUUACACUGAAAGAAGUGUUAGAUCCUCGUUUGUCACCUCCGACAGAUGAAAUUGUCAUACAGAAUAUAUGUAUUAUUGCAACUCUGGCAUUCUCUUGCUUACAUUCGAAUCCAAAAUCUCGACCUUCAAUGAAAUUCGUGUCUCAAGAAUUUCUAUCUCCCAAGAGAUCACUGGCAGGUCUUGAGAUUUCUUUGCUGGAGCUGCGAACUCUUGGCAUGCACGCAAAUGGAGGUGAUAUCACAGUUCCUAGUUGAAAAUGUGAACUUUGAGCUCACAUUGAAGUUUAUAAUAUUUCUUAAUUUUGGAAGAACUUCUUUCUUUUAGUACAUUAAAUGUCUUUAUAAUAUUUUAGGGUGACAUUGUAUGUAAUUUUAACAAUGCACACUUUUCUCGUGUACUGUAAAAUCAAUUAGAGCAUCACUGUCUAGGUUAAAUUGAAAUCAUCACUCAUCUUACAAUUAGGCAAAUCCCCACUUGAAAUAUGCAGAAGAUAUUUGUUAACUCCAUUUGUGCCUGCAAGCUCUUGUAUAUUGGAUGCCUGAAAGCAGUGUUUGGAGAUUGAUUUUUUUUCUGACUGAUGUGCUUUGGUAUUGAUCAUUUGGCACAGAUGGGAUUUUCAAUCAUCUUCCAAAGGAAUACCACUUCAAGAUUUAUGUCUCAUGUUUGGAACCGAAAGAAGUUAAAAGAGAGAGUUUUUGUUGUCUCAGAGACAUUUACUAACAGAAAAAAUGAUUUCUUCGUAUCAGCCUCUGGUUUAUAAAUAAAAGAAUGGAACCAGGUUUUUAAGUUGAAAUUCUUUACCAUGAUACCACAUUGAUCAUCCUUAUUCCCCUUCAUGAUAUCUUUAAAUGAGAAAAAGCUUGGAGUGCGCAACUGUCCUGAUGAAGGGCAAUCCUCAGUGUUGCACGUCCCCGCACGGUGAUUUGGUGAUUUUUCACGGUGAUUCGGCAAUUUUUCAUUAUGUUUCCUUGAUUGGUUAUUUAAGAGUCGCCAUCUAGUAUUUGAUUAAAAACUACUAGAAAACCUGAAUAUACUGAUCUUUGUCAGAAAUUUAAAGAUAAGAAACUAAUUAUGACUAAAAAAUAUAUUAGCACCCCUAACACACCCUACCUGAGAUAAGCUGCUUUGUAAUUUGAUGUUCCUUAAGAUAUUUAAUCAUAUUCAAAUUAAACACUUAGUUUUUUUUAUCUUUUUUAUUUUUACAAUUUAAUAACAUAAAUAAAAUACAAACACACACCAACAUUCCUUUUUUACUAUCCUCAACUCACACAUCACUUUUACAUAUUACAAAAUAUCAAAACAAAUCAAAUACUAUAAUCUAAAUAUACACAGCAACAUUUGAAAAUUACAAAAAGCUUCGGGAACGGUGCUGGAGCACUCUGGGCAUCUUCUGUGAUUGUGUACAGUGGCGGCGCGUCUCCUCCACGCGCCGCCGCGAAAUCCGGGCGGCAGCGGAGAUCCAUAAUGGCUUCCUCCCUUCUUCCUUUCUUCGCCGGCGAUGGGCACCACCGUUACCUGCAAAACAACCAAACGCAGCAAGCAAGUCUGUUGUAGCUUUUUCUUUGUUUUCAGUCCGGCUUUUCUUCCUUCCGAUCUGCCAAAUCUGGAGACGGGCGUUGCACGCGCCGCCAGCAGACCAGGCGUGUGGAUGGCUGGAUCGGCAACUUCCCUCCUCCCAUUUCAUUUCUGCAACGGCGGUGUUGUCCACCGCUGUCAUGGUCGUGAGAUCGGCGCCCAUCCAGGUUUCGGUUCUCUGCCCCUUCUUUACUGCCCUUCGGCCUUCCUUCUCAUUUCCUCAUCGUCUCUGGAGAAGGGAUGCUGCCGCUGGCCGAUUGAUGGUGGUUAGCCGAGAGAGGGUCUGAAAGUCUGUUGAUGAGGGAAUAGAUGGUAUUCUCGGCUGGAGGUUUCAGUCGGCUGAGAGGGGGUAAAGUGAGGGGGACGGCCGGCUGGCUUGUUUUUGACAGAGGGCCAGGGGGCCACGGCCGGCCUCUGGUUCUGGGAGCGCCGAGAGAGGGAGGCCGUGGAGGCCGGUGUGCAGGGGAGGUUAGUCUGUGGGCGGCUGAAGAGGGAAGACAAAAUGGCCAAGGGGAGAAGGUGGCCGAGAGGGACAGGGGAGGCUUGCGGCUGUUUUCGUGCUCCCUGAUGCUCUUUUAGCCAAGGGAAGGGCCAAGCUCUGGCUGGUUUCGGGAGAAGGAAAAUGAGGAGAGGCAGGGGGUUUUGCCGUGGCUUUGGUUCUCUUUGUUUUUAGCCAAGGGAGGGGGCAGCCUUGUGAGGGAGAAGAAGAUGGGGAGUGGGUGGUCGCCUGCUUGGAGAGGGAGAGUGGCGGCUCAAACAGGGAAAGAGAGCUUCUCUGUAGGGAAAUGGGGAGCCGACUACAAUAGCAGAGAGGGGUUCUGGUUUCUCCAAGGGAGGGGCGGCCGAGAGCUGGAAUCAGUUUAGGUUUAGGGUUUUUUAGUUUUUGUUCCCCAAAAUUGUCUCCGCCUCCAUGCCUGUAAAAUUUUUCUCUCCUCUCCCCCUUUUUUUUUCACUGUAGCAUGUUAUUUAUAAAAGAAGUUUUGCUAGGUCUUCAAACUAAUCCCUCAACUUUUCAUUUCCUUUUUUUUUUUGUAAAUUUUAAUUUUUUUAAUUUUUUUUAUUUUUAAAAGCAAGCAAUAUCAACAUCAACUCAACAAGAAAAAUCAAUGAUCAUAAAAUUUACACGUUAAAAGUUGAACGCGUUCCAAAUAGCUUUGAAAAUUUAAAUUUUUUUGAGAUAACGUUGAAAAUGCUAAAAACGAUGCAAAUAUAUUAAAAAUAUAUUUUUUAGUAUUUUUUUACUAUUUUUUGGUUUUUUCUGUAAAUUUAUUAAAAAUUGGAUAGCAACACUCAGGACCAACAUCUGUCAUCUCUUUCUGAGGGCAAAGCCCAACCCCAAAACUUGCUUGCCGGAGCACACAACAUCAGGCUCUUAUUAUCAUAUGCUUCACCACUGCACCACCCCUCCGAGCCGUGAAACAACCUCAUUUUCGAAACCUUUCCUCGGUAAAUUAACAUGCUCACAAGUAACCUGAUUAAAGAUCACAGUAGGAUUAAAAGGGACGAAUCACCGAAACAUAAAAAACCAUCACUGAAAUUAAGAACAAUGAGAUUACUACUAGUAAGUCUAAGUUAUUGCUGGAAUGGAGAAUGGGGCGAUAGUAAUCAAACAUUACAAGGUGUUCAUGGACAUGAUAACUAGAAUUGAGUUAAAUUUAUGUUUUAAUACAUAAAAACGUACUUAAUAAUUUUUAUUUUUAAAAUAAUGAUAUAAUAAUCAAAAGCAAAGCAAUGGUAAAUGGCUAGUUCAGAAAAAGCUUGACGGAGCUGAACAAGAUUGAAAAGAAAACAAUAGUUUUUUUUUUUUUUAAAAAAAAAGGUUUGAGAUACUCCAGAGCUAAUUUAUCACAUGAAGACAAAAUAAUUCUCAAUAAUAAUCAAAUAAAUUACAAGAAAAAUAAAUGUUUUCUAGGCCUAAUACAACUUAAUUGUUUAUACUACUAGUUAUAAAAAUAAAUUACAACUUGUUUAAAUAAGUAUUCAACUUAUUUUUACUGAAAAUAAAAAUUCUAAAAUAACCAGAAAAAAUAAAGAAAAAAAAUCCAAAUACAUGUAGAAAAAUUAAGAAAAUAAUGUUGUCUAGGCCUAAUAUGAAAGCCUUCUUGACCUUAACUUGUUACAGUAGCAACCCAUUAAUUAUAAAACAAGGCAUUUAGAAUAUACCGGUAAAAUUCAAAUAAUAUCUAACGACAAGAGCUUAUUUUCGUUAAAAAAUAUUAUUUGGAGCAUCAGAUAUUUUUCUUGAACUUCGAUAGGUCCAUAUAGUCAAUAAAUCGUAUAUGCUAAAUGUUUUAAAUAUAUAGUCUAAUUAUAACAAAUGAUUAUAUGACAGUUCAUAUUCACCUGCAUGAAAGCUCUAUAUAUAUACCCAUUAUCUUGGUGACAAUUGACAAGUCUCAUAAUCUAUGUUGCGAGUUUGGUGGGUUAACUUGAUUGAGUUGAGUAUUUUUUUUUAAUUGAUAUUUUUUUCUAAUCUCAUCCUUCAACAUUGAGUUGAUUGACAAUUAUACUCAUGAUUUAUUUUGGUUUGUUUUUUAUGAGGUUAUCUUGAUUUCAUGAUUCGAGUCGCGAAUUUGACGGGUUAACUCAGUUGACUCGAGUUUUUUUUUUUAAUUUUUUUAAUUGGUGUUUUUUCAAUUUUAUCUUUCAGCAUUGAGUUGAUUAUGAAUUAGACUUAAUAAUUUAUUUUUGUUUAUUUUCUAUGAGAUUAUCCCGAUCUUAUGACUUGGAUCACAUGUUUUGCAAGUUAACUCGUGUAGACUGAGGUUGUUUUAUUGUAUCUUGUUUUUAGGUUGAUUUUUUUUUCUUUAAUUUCAACCUUCAACAAUGAGUUUAUUGAAAAUUGAGCUUUAUAAUUUUUUUUAUUUACUUUCUAUGACUUAGGUUAUUUUUUUAUUUACUUUUUAUAAGGUUAUCCUGAUUUCUUGAUCCGGAUCAUGAGUUUGACAGUUUAACUUAGAUCAAUUUUUUUUGUUAUUUUUUAUUUUUUUUUCAAUUUUAUCCUUCAACAUUUGGUUAAUUUGGAAUCAGGCUUCAAAGUUUUUUUGGUCUUGCUUUCUAUAAAGUUAUCCUAGCCUCUUUACCAGGGUCACAAUUUGGCUAGUUAACCUGGGUUGACUCAUGUUUUUUUUUUUUAAUUUCAUCCCUAAACAUUGAGAUUUUUUAUCUCGAGUCGUAUAGGUCAACUUAGGUUUGUUUGUUAUUUUUUUAGUUUAAUUAUUUUUUUUCAAUUUUAUCCUUUAACAUUUGGUUGAUUUGGGAUUAAGCUUCAUAUUUGUUUUUGCUUUCUACGAGGUUAUUUGGUCUUAUUAUAUAGGUCACGAGUUUGGUUGGUGAACUUGAAAUGAUUCAGUUUUUUUUAAUUGAUUUUUUUCAAUUUCAUCCUUCAACAUUGGAUUAAUUGAGAAUUAAACUUUAUAACUUAUUUUGAUUUGUUUUAUAUUGAGUUAUUUCAGUCAUAUGACCCGGGUUGUAGCUUUGACAGGUUAACCUGAGUUGUUUGUUUUUUGGUCUCUUUUUUUAAUUGAUUUUUUUUUUAAUUUCAUCUUUUAACAUUGGUUUAAUUGAGAAUUGAGUUUUAUAUUUGAUUUUGAUUUACUUUCUAUAUGAUUAUUCUGGUCUUAUGAUUCGAGUCGUGAAUUUGAUAGGUAACCCAAGUCGAUUCAAUAUGUUUUCAUCUCGAUAUUUUUUCAAAAACAUGCCGUCUUGAAUUUUUUUAAUAAAACCAUAUUUUUAACGGUUUUUCAAGUUGUUUUUUGACCCGUUAAGUUAACUAGGUCACUUCAACUUAACCUAUAUAUGUUUUAAUUUUUUUCAACUAAAAAACAUGAUAAGAACACGUAGAUAGUUUUUAACUUUUAAAAAAUUAAUCUGACCUGCAGUACAGCAAGUAGCACUACUCUAUUUAUGAAAGUAAGGGCCUAAAAGACGUGUGCAAUGCGGAUCGACUGAAAUCCACAAAUUAAUGGCAAGAGGAUCAGAAUACAUGUAUUUGGAUUAUUUUCUGCUCGAUCUCUUUCCACGAAAAUCAGGGAGAAUAGAUUAACUGACUGGCCUUCUUAAUUUCCAAAUGAUCAUGCUAUUGGCGAUUGGUGAACCUUUUUCUCCAUUGUGGAAAAAGAAAAAAAAACUAGCUAGACAAUCUGAAGCUAUUGUCUUAGGCAUUGGAAUUGAUAGAAUGAAAAGUCUUGCAGUGGACGCAUAUGCCCAUGCAUCAUCUUUGGUUUCAAAAAGACAGUAAGAAUAGUACACGUGAAAGACCAGAGGAACUUGACUUGGAACGAUUUCAUGAAAAAACCAUGCACUUCAAUCAUAAAUUUAGCAUUAUCAUUGAAGGGAAGCAUUACACGCAAACAUGGCAUCCAUUGAUUAUGAGCCAAAACUUCUUGCAAUUUUAAGCAUCUCAUUUUUCUUGUCCUGUAUUUUUGUAUCAAGUACUGGUCUUGUGGCUGCACUUGAUGAUUCAGCCUUGCUAGCAUCAGAAGUCAAGGCUUUGCUUGAGAGUGGAUGGUGGAGUCAAUACAGCAACCUCACCUCACAUCGUUGCAAGUACUGGCCUGGCAUAUUUUGUAAUAGGGCUGGAAGCAUCACUAAGAUUUACCCACCUCCAGAGUUCCUCAAGGUGGGAAAUAAGUUUGGAAAGAUGAACUUUUCUUGCUUCUCAAACCUUGUCCGUCUCCACCUGCCCAACCAUGAGCUCAAUGGAAGCAUCCCGCCUCAAAUUUCUAUCCUCCCACAACUCAGAUACCUCAACCUGUCCUCAAAUAAUCUAGCAGGUGAGUUACCGUCUUCACUUGGAAAUCUCAGCCGAUUAGUUGAGCUUGAUUUUUCUUCCAAUAAUUUCAUCAAUUCCAUCCCUCCAGAACUAAGCAAUCUUAAAAAUCUUGUUACUUUGACCUUGUCUGAUAACAGCUUCAGCGGCCCAAUCCCUUCGGCACUUUGUCAUUUGGAAAAUCUAAGGCAUUUAUUUAUGGAUCAUAAUAGUCUCGAAGGUGCCCUCCCUAGAGAAAUAGGGAACAUGAGAAAUCUAGAGAGUUUGGACGUGAGUUAUAAUACACUUAAUGGUCCAAUCCCUCGAACAUUGGGUAGGUUAGCCAAGUUGAGGUCUUUGAUCCUUUCUCGCAACGCAAUCAAUGGAUUCAUCCCUUUAGAAAUAGGAAAUUUGACGAAUCUAAAAGAUUUACAGCUUAUAUCUAAUAUCCUAGUUGGUUCAAUUCCUUCAACGAUAGGUUUUUUAUCCGAUUUGACUAAUCUAGAUCUUUCUUAUAACGUAAUCAAUGGAUCCAUCCCUUCGCAAAUAGGAAAUUUGACGAAUCUAGAACAUUUAGAUCUUUCCUCUAAUAUCCUAGCUGGUUCAAUUCCUUCUACAUUUGGUUUUUUAUCCAAUUUGAUUCUUUUGCAUCUUUUUGACAACCAAAUCAAUGGAUCCAUCUCUUUAGAAAUAGGAAAUUUGACAAAUCUAUGUCGUUUGUUUCUCAAAGGCAACAAAAUCAGUGGUUCGAUUCCUAUUUCAUUAGGAGAUUUAAGAAACUUGGCAUUUCUAGACCUAUCUAACAACCAAAUCAAUGGAUCCAUAGCUUCAUCUUUGAAGAAUUGUAAAUAUUUGACCUAUCUAGAUUUGAGCUACAAUAAUUUAAGUGGACAAAUACCCUCCCAACUACAUAAUUUGCCCUCUUUAUCUUAUGUGAAUUUUCGUUAUAAUAACCUCUCAGGCUUUGUUCCCUUGCAAUUGCCACAACCCUUUGAUGUGUCUUUCACCUGUGAUUCUCUUCAUGGGCAAAGAACCAACAGUCCUGAAAUUUUUCAAGCUACUGUAUUUGAGGGCAACAAAGAUUUACACCCUGAUUUCUCACGUUGUUCAUCUAUUUACUCCCCACCUUCAAAAGACAACAGAAUAAUUCAUUCCAUCAAAAUAUUUCUUCCUAUCACCACCAUUUCACUUUGUCUCUUGUGUCUCGGAUGUUGUUAUCUGUCUCGAUGCAAGGCUACCCAACCUGAGGCAACAUCAUUAAAGAAUGGAGACUUGUUUUCCAUAUGGAAUUAUGAUGGGAGGAUUGCAUACGAAGACAUCAUUGCAGCGACCGAGAACUUCGACCUCAGAUAUUGUAUCGGAUCCGGUGGUUAUGGGAGCGUCUACCGAGCACAACUUCCAAGUGGGAAAUUAGUUGCCUUGAAGAAACUUCAUCAUCGCGAGGCAGAGGAGCCGGCUUUUGACAAGAGUUUAAAAAAUGAGGUGGAACUGCUCACACAAAUACGUCACAGGAGCAUUGUAAAGCUUUAUGGAUUCUGUUUGCACCAGCGCUGCAUGUUUCUUGUUUACGAGUACAUGGAAAAGGGAAGCUUGUUUUGUGCCUUGAGAAAUGAUGUUGGAGCCGUGGAACUGAAGUGGAUGAAAAGAGCACACAUCAUCAAAGACAUUGCUCACGCAUUAUCUUACUUGCAUCAUGAUUGCAACCCACCAAUUGUUCAUCGAGACAUAUCAAGCAGCAAUGUUCUGUUGAAUUCAGAAUUCAAGUCUUUUGUUGCUGAUUUUGGUGUGGCUAGACUUCUCGAUCCUGAUUCGUCCAACCAUACUGUACUUGCUGGUACCUAUGGAUACAUUGCCCCAGGUAAAAAUAUUUCUUCCUAACAUGCAUAUUUACCACUCAUGCACUGCAAAACUAAAGCAAACUCUCUUUAUAUAUAUAUUAAUUUCGUUUUGUAUAUGGACAGAGCUGGCUUAUACUAUGGCGGUGACAGAGAAAUGUGAUGUUUACAGCUUCGGAGUUGUGGCGCUUGAAACUUUGAUGGGAAGGCAUCCGGGAGAUAUCCUAUCAUCAUCUGCUCAGGCUAUUACACUGAAAGAAGUGUUAGAUCCUCGUUUGCCACCUCCAACAAAUGAGAUUGUCAUACAGAAUAUAUGUACCAUUGCAAGUCUGAUAUUUUCUUGCUUACAUUCAAAUCCAAAAUAUCGACCUUCAAUGAAAUUCGUGUCUCAAGAAUUUCUAUCUCCCAAGAGAUUAUUGGGAGGUCUCGAGAUUUCUUUCUUGGAACUGCGAAAUCUUGGCAUGCACACAAAUGUAGGUGAGAUCACAGUUCCUCGCUGAAAAAGUCAACUUUGAGCUCACCUGGAACUUCAACGAGAGCCUCCAAGAGCAUGCGUUUAUAGAAUUUCUUAAUUUUGGAAUAAUUUUUUUUUCUUUUGUUUUAGUACACUACAUGUCUUUGUAAUAUUUUAGUGUGACAUUGUAUGCAAUUUUAAUAAUGCACACUUUUCUUGUGCAUGAUAGCUAGUAUCAAUAUACAUGAGCAUCAUAUUAAGUACUCUACCUCUCUGUCUAGCAGGUUAAAUUGAAAUCAUCACUCAUCUUAUAAUUAGGCAAAUCCCCACUUGAAAUAUGCAGAAGAUAUUUGUUAACUCCAUUAAUUUGUCCCUGCAAGCUCUUGUAUAAGAGAUGUCUGAAAGCAGUGUUUGGAUCUACUCUCUACAGUCUGUUCUGACUUCUGUCACUAUCUGAGCAACAUGUUUUGCUCAAUAUUUAUUAUUUGGCAGAGAUUGAAUUUUCAAUCAUCUUCCACUUCAAGAUUUAUGUCUCAUGUUUGGAACCAAGCUUUGACUUCAAAGGAUGGUGAGUUGAGAUGUCCUCCCUCCAUUGUGUAAAUUUUGGAUAUCGGCUUGCCACAAAGUCGACCACCAUAUCUAUCUAGUAAUAAUACACAACAAUAUUGUAGCUGUACAAGAUGCCUAGCUAUAGAUUAUUUUCAGUCUCAGAGACAUUUACUAACAGAGAAAAUAUAUCAUAGUACGUAUCCGAUUAUGAGCACAUGAUUUCUUCGUAUCAGCAUCUGAUUUAUAAAAGGUUGAAACCAAUUUUUAAAGUUGAACUUUACCUUGUUAUCACAUUGAUCAUCCCAUUAAUUUCCCCUUCAUGAUAUCUUUAAAUAAGAAAAAGCUUGUAUAUGCUAAAUGUUUUACAUAGUCUAAUUAGAACAAAUGAUUAUAUGACAGUUCAUAUUCUCCUGCAUGAAAGCUCUAUAUACCCAUUAUCAUGGUGACAAUUGACAAGUCGCCGAUCCAAUUCUGCAAUUAUAUUAGAAUGCAAGGAUAAUAUAUUUAUUUAGGAUUUUAUUAAUUAUCUCAUGGCUAUGUAUAUUCAAUAAUUUCCUUUAAUGAUUACAGCUCCGCAUCAGUUUCUUUCUUGUUCGAGGUUUGUCGGGCCUUCUAUUGAACCAAAACAAAAACAAACUAUUCUAACAUGUCUACGAAACAAAGCCCAAGCAGCUAUCGGCUUAAGCCUUUUUAUACCAGCGCGGGAUUUCAAAUUCGUGCAAGAAUCGUACAGGACUGGUCGGCAAGAUCACUAACAAUCCAUUUUCUGAUUUGUUAGUAAUUAUUUUUUAAAAUAUAUUGAAAUAAUAUUAUUUUAUUUUUUAAAAUUUAUUUUUGAUAUCAUCACAUCAAAAAAAUCUAAAAUUAUUAAAAAUAAAUAAAUUAAUUUAAAGCAAAAAAUAAAAAAAAUAUUUUUAAAACGCAAAAAACAAACAAUAAACUGACUCUAAAAUUACUAGAAUUUACAAGUAUUGUAAUAUUAUUAAUUUUAAUUUAUACUAUUUUUUAUUCUUAUCUUUAUUAUUUUGUAAUUAUUUUCAUUGCAUAUGAAACUUCCGGUUCCACUUCACAAGAAAUAUUAUACAAAGACUAAGAAAAUGAUGUUUUAAUAUAGCAACUACAACGUUGUUCUAUAUUUAAACAACAUUAAAAAUGAGCUGAAAAUCUUAUAUUUCUUUAUUAACGUAUAUGAACUUCACUAUAUUAUAUUAUAUGUAAGCAUUAACCUUUUGUUUCACAACAAUAUUUUUUACUCGCCGUCAAAAAACAUGUUAAUAACACCUACAUAUUAAUUCAUCUGUGUUAGAACAAAAUAAUAAUCAACUUGCAACUACGCGAAUCGAAUAGACAUGCUAAUAUUUUUUUUGUAUUUAUUGGCAGAGAUGAUUCUUGAUUUAUUUUCUUACAUGCAUGUAUAUGCCUUUUGAUUUACAGUUAGAUUUCUUUUUGUACAAAAACACAUUUGAAAAGCUUGCAUGUGUUUUUCUUCCAAAAACAUUAUUUAGCCCGGAGAGGAGUGCAUUUCAAAUAACUAGUAGUAUAAACUAAAAGAGUUGAUGAUUUUAUUGUUCAUCACCUCACAAAACACUAUUCAUUUUAAUAGUGUUUUUCCCUCCUAAAUCUAUGUUUCUUCCUAAUUUUAUACUUCAACAUUUAGUUUAUUGGAGAUUGAGCUUUAUAAUUUAUUAUGGUUUACUUUAUAUGUGGUUAGCCUAGUCUCGUAAUCUAUGUCACGGGUUUAGCAGGUUAAUUCAGUUGAUUUGAGUUUUUUUUAAUUGAUUUUUUUUCAAUCCCAUCCUUUAGCAUUGGAUUGAUUGAUAAUUAUGCUUCAUAAUUUAUUUUGGUUUGUUUUUUAUGAGGUUAUCCUGAUUUAAUGAGUCGAGUCGCGAGUUUGGUGGGUUAACCCAGUCGACUCGAUUUUUUUUUUGUCUUUUUUUAAUUGAUAUUUUUCCAAUUUUAUUUUUCAAUAUUGAGUUGAUUAUGAAUUAGGUUUCAUUAUUUAUUUUGAUUUAUUUUCUAUGAAGUUAUCUUGGUCUUAUGAUUUGGGUCACGUAUUUUGCAGGUUAACACAUAUAGACUGAGGUUGUUUUAUUGUGUCCUAUUUUUAUAUUGAAUUUUUUUUCUUCAAUUUCAACCUUUAACAAUGAGUUUAUUGAAAAUUAAGCUCAUAAUUUGUUUUGAUUUACUUUCUAUGGAUUUAUCAGGUUGACCCGAGUUGACUCAUGUUAUUUUUUUGUUUACUUUCUAUAAGGUUAUCUUAAUUUUUUGACCCGGAUCACGGGUUUGACAGUUUAACUUAUGUCAUUUUUUUUUGUUAUCUUUUAUUUAUUUUUUUAAUUUUAUCCUUUAGCAUUUGAUUGAUUUGGAAUCAGGCUUCAUAUUUUUUUUGGUCUUGCUUUUUAUAAAGUUAUCCCGGUUUCAUUACUAGGGUUACAGUUUGGCGAGUUAACAUGGGUUGACUUAAGUCUUUUUUUUAUUAUUUUUUUUAUUUCAUCAUUAAACAUUAAGAUUUCUUAUCUUGAGUCACAUGUCAACUUAGGUUUGUUUGUCCUUAUUUAUUUAUUUCAAUUUUAUUCUUUAAUAUUUGAUUGAUUUGAGAUUAAACUUCAUCUUUAUUUUUAUUUUCUAUAAGCUUAUCUUAGUCUUAUUACAUAGUUCAAGAGUUCGACUGGUUAACCUGAGUUGACUCAGUUUUUUUUAAUUAAUUUUUUUUUCAAUUUUAUCCUUCAAUAUUGGAUUAAUUGAGAAUUAAAUUUUAUAAUUUUUUUUUAUUUGGUUUAUAAGGAGUUAUCUUAGUCAUAUGACUUAGGUUAUAGCUUUAACAGGUUAACCCGAGUUAACUCGAGUUGUUUGUUUUUUGAUCUUUUUUUUUAAUUUCAUCCUUUUACAUUGAUUUAAUUGAGAAUUGAGUUUCAUAUUUGGUUUUGGUUUGCUUUCUAUGUGGUUAUUUCGGUCUUAUGUUUUGGGUCGUGAAUUUGACAGGUUUACUCGGGUAGAUCUAAUAUGUUUUCGUCUCAAUAUUUUUUAAAAAAACAUGCCAUCUUGAAUUUUUUUAGUCAAACUAUAUUUUUAACGAUUUUCCAAGUUGUCUUUGAGCCCGUUAAGUUGACCUGAUCACAUCAAAUUAACCCCUACAUGUUUUAAUUUUUUUCAACUAGAAAACACAUUAAUGGCAUCUAGAUAUUUUUUGACGUUAAAAAAAUUAAUCCGACCUGCAACAUAGUGCAGACAAUAAUCUAGUCUACUUUAUUUUUGAAAGUAAGGGCCUAAAGGGAUAUUUGAGAGUGUGGUAGUGAUUAUUUUUCAAAGUACGUUUUGCUCGGAAAUGCAUCAAAAUAAUAUAUAUAUUUUUUAAAAAAUUAUUUUUAAUAUUAACAUAUCAAACUAAUAUGAAAACACUAAAAAAAAUUAUUAAUUUGAAGUAAAAAAAAAAUAAAAAAAUUUAAUUUUUUUCAAAAUAUUUUUGAAACCAAAAAAACAUACAAACCUUAAAAGAUGUUAAAAUUCGAAUAGACUUAGAAUGAAAUCCACAAACUAAUGGCAAGAGGAUCAGAAUACAUGUAUUUGGAUUAUUUUCUACUCGAUCUUUUCCCAAGAAAGUCAGGGAGAAUAGAUUAACUGACUGGCCUUCUGAAUUUCCAAAUGAUGCUAUUGGUGAACCUUUUUCUUCUUUGUGGAAAAAGAAAAGGACUAGCUAGACAAUCUGAAGCUAUUGUCUUAGGCAUUGGAAUUGAUAGAAUUAAAAGUCUUGCAGUGAACGCAUGGACCCAUGCAUCAUCUUUGGUUUCAAAAGACAAUUGUGUUGAAAUGCUGCAUUGUUGUAAAGUUAUUCAUCAUGGCCUUGCUUCAUUUUUAUUUUGCUGAGGUAAAAAAACUUAUGUUUGGGGAGCAUCCAGAUCAAAGAUAGAAUGCUUGUUCUUUUGAGUGGCAAAUUCUUGAGACCAAUAAAAACAGAGUAGUUUGAGAAAACAAUGACUCUUGGCAUUCCAUCAACUCACAUUGCUCAAAUUGCAUUUUAUUUGAAGGUGCCUGCUUCACUAUGACUGUUGGCAUUCCCUUUCUUCAUUUUUUAAUUUUUGGCGCUACGAGUUGUUUAACAAUGUAAGCUAGGCAGUAAACACCGGUUUUGGAGGCGCGUGACCUUCCUUAAGGGUUUUGACCACGCGCUUCCUUGGAUAUUUCUAUUAUCCAGAUGAGCUAGGCUACGAGGCUGUGUCUGAAUGAGAUUAUGGGCUCGUUAGCUGGGCCUUUUCCAUAUUGGCAAGUUCUGGACUCUUAUUGGGUUUUGCAUGUUGGCUUUGGCUCCGAUUUGAUGAUUUUUUGGUGAAUCUAUUUUAUCUAUAACGUAGUAAGUAAAUAGCUAUUCCCGGAAUAAUAAAGGAAUGUUGAAGUUGAUUGAAGUUGAUUCGGCUUUUUAUGGGGAAAAGAAAAAAGAUCAUUCCUUCUGUAUUUUGGAAUGCUAGAUAUAGGUACGGUGCUCGUAUUGUUUUCUUCACUUGAGUUUACUGCCCCACAUCAUUCCUGCUUCUUUAUUUUAUUUUCCCCGAAGAAGUUUAUAUAUGGGCAUGGUGCUCAUCAAAUGCAAUAGAUUUUGGAAAUUUAAACAAAAGUAUUUUCUGAUAUUACUAGAGGGCUACGGUGCUUGUGCUGGAGUUUUUACUGCCCCACCUAUCAAAUUGCAGUGGUCAUAUGCAAAGAAAAGUCACUAAAAAAAGAGCAUCAUCAAUAUUCCAAAAAAGAUGGUACUUCCAUAAUCAUCGAGUUAAUGGACCACAUACGUCACUGACAUUAAUUGUGUUUUCUUAUAGAAACAGAAAUGGGCCUUCUUCUUAUUACCAUAGGCAUGCUAAUGUGGCUGAUAUUUUUCCAGGACAUUAAACCAUGUCUGGUAGGGUGCUCUCCCAACACUGUCAGUCUCGACUCAACUACUUCAAGGAAAGUUUGCCAAUUGCAUGUUCUUGGAAGCAACCUGAUUAUCCACUCUAUUUAUGAAACAAAGGGCCUACAAGACGUGGAAUGAGUCCAUGAAAAAGCCAUGCACUUAAUUCAUUCAUAAAUUUCGCAGGCAAGCAUUAGACGCAAACAUGGCCUACAAGACGCGAGGAAUUAUUUUCUACACGGUCUCUUUCCAUGGAAGGAUGGAUUGACUGCCUGGCCUUCUUAGUUUUCAAAUGCCACUGUUCGUGAUAAAAAAUAGAAUGCCUGUUCUUUUGAGUGAAAGAUUGUUGAGACCAAUAAGGAUUGACUACGAAUGACAUGGGCAAUACGGAUUGACUACGAAUCAAAUCCAAAAAUUAAUGGCACGUACGAUGAUCAGAAUACUACUAUGUAUUAGCAUUAUUUUUCUACUCGGUCUCUUUCCAUGAAAAUCAGGGAGAAUAGAAUUAACUGAUUGGCCUUCUUAAUUCCCAAAAUCCACUAUUGGUGAUUUGUAAGCCUUUUUCUUAAUCACAACGCGUGAAAGACUUGGAACGAGUCCAUGGGAAUGCCAUGGACUUCAUUAAUAAAUUUAGCAUUAUCAUUGAAGGGAAGCAUUAGACACAAACAUGGCGUCCAUUGAUUAUGAGCCAAAACUUCUUGCAGUUUUAAGCAUCUCAUUUUUCUUGUCCUGUAUUUUUGUAUCUAGUACUGGUCUUGUGGCUGCACUUGAUGACUCAGCCUUGCUAGCAUCAGAAGGCAAGGCUUUGCUUGAGAGUGGAUGGUGGAGUGACUACAGCAACCUCACCUCACAUCGUUGCAAGUGGACUGGCAUAGUCUGUGAUCGGGCUGGAAGCAUCACUGAGAUUUCCCCACCUCCAGAGUUCCUCAAGGUGGGAAAUAAGUUUGGAAAGAUGAACUUUUCUUGCUUCUCAAACCUUGUCCGUCUCCACCUGGCCAACCAUGAGCUCAGUGGGAGCAUCCCGCAUCAAAUUUCUAUCCUCCCACAACUCAGAUACCUCAACCUGUCCUCAAAUUAUCUAGCAGGUGAGUUACCGUCUUCACUUGGAAAUCUCAGCCGAUUAGUUGAGCUUGAUUUUUCUUCCAAUAAUUUCAUCAAUUCCAUCCCUCCAGAACUAGGCAAUCUUAAAAGUCUUGUUACUUUGAGCUUGUCUUAUAACAGCUUCAGCGGCCCAAUCCACUCGGCACUUUGUCAUUUGGACAAUCUAACGCAUUUAUUUAUGGAUCAUAAUAGACUCGAAGGUGCCCUCCCUAGAGAAAUAGGGAACAUGAGAAAUCUAGAGAUUUUGGACGUGAGUUAUAAUACACUUAAUGGUCCAAUCCCUCGGACAUUGGGUAGGUUAGCCAAGUUGAGGUCUUUGAUCUUUCAUGUGAACAAAAUCAAUGGAUCCAUACCUUUCGAAAUAAGAAAUUUGACGAACCUUGAAUAUUUAGAUCUUUCCUCUAAUAUCCUAGGUGGUUCAAUUCCUUCAACUCUGGGCCUUUUAUCCAAUUUGAAUUUUGUAGAUCUUUUGGGCAACCAAAUCAAUGGACCUAUCCCUUUAAAAAUAGGAAAUUUGACGAAUCUACAAUAUUUACAUCUCGGUGGCAACAAGAUCACUGGUUUCAUUCCUUUUUCAUUAGGCAAUUUAAAAAGCUUGACAAUGCUAGACCUCUCUCACAACCAAAUUAAUGGAUCCAUCCCUUUAGAAAUACAGAACUUGACAAAUUUGAAAGAAUUAUAUUUGAGUUCAAACAGUAUCAGUGGUUCGAUUCCUUCAACGUUGGGCCUUUUAUCCAAUUUGAUUUCUCUAGAUCUUUCCGACAACCAAAUCACCGGUUUGAUUCCUUUUUUGUUAGGCAAUUUAACAAGCUUGAUAAUACUAGACCUCUCUCACAACCAAAUCAACGGAUCCACCCCUUUAGAAACACAAAACUUGACAAAUUUGAAAGAAUUAUAUUUGAGUUCAAACAGUAUCAGUGGUUCGAUUCCUUCAACUUUGGGCCUUUUAUCGAAUUUGACUUUUCUAGAUCUUUCCAACAACCAAAUCACCGGUUUGAUUCCUUUUUUGUUAGACAAUUUAACAAGCUUGAUAAUACUAGACCUCUCUCACAACCAAAUCAACGGAUCCAUCCCUUUGAAAAUACAGAACUUGACAAAUUUGGAAGAAUUAUAUUUGAGUUCAAACAGUACCAGUGGUUCGAUUCCUUCAACUUUGAGCCUUUUAUCCAAUUUGAUUCUUCUAGAUCUUUCCUACAACCAAAUUACCGGUUUGAUUCCUUUUUUGUUAGGCAAUUUAACAAACUUGACAACUCUAUACCUUUCUCACAACCAAAUCAACGGAUCCAUCCCUUCAUCUUUGAAGUAUUGUAAUAAUUUGGCCUACCUAGAUUUGAGCUUCAAUAAUUUAAGUGAAGAGAUACCCUCCGAACUAUAUGAUUUGGACUCUUUACAAUAUGUGAAUUUUAGUUACAAUAAUCUCUCAGGCUCUGUUUCCUUGCCUUUGCCACCGCCCUUUAAUUUUCAUUUCACAUGUGAUUUUGUUCAUGGGCAAAUUAACAAUGAUUCUGCAACUUUAAAAGCUACUGCAUUUGAGGGCAACAAAGAUUUACACCCUGAUUUCUCACGUUGUCCAUCUAUUUACCCCCCACCUUCAAAAACCUACUUGUUGCCUUCAAAAGACUCCAGAAUAAUUCAUUCCAUCAAAAUAUUUCUUCCUAUCACCACCAUUUCACUUUGUCUCUUGUGUCUCGGAUGUUAUCUGUCUCGAUGCAAGGCUACCGAACCUGAGACAACAUCAUCAAAGAAUGGAGACUUGUUUUCCAUAUGGAAUUAUGAUGGGAGGAUUGCAUACGAAGACAUCAUUGCAGCGACGGAGAACUUUGACCUUAGAUAUUGUAUCGGAACCGGUGGUUAUGGGAGCGUCUACCGAGCGCAACUUCCAAGUGGGAAAUUAGUUGCCUUGAAGAAACUUCAUCGUCGAGAGGCAGAGGAGCCGGCUUUUGACAAGAGUUUCAAAAAUGAGGUGGAACUGCUCACACAAAUACGUCACAGGAGCAUUGUAAAGCUUUAUGGAUUCUGUUUGCACCAGCGCUGCAUGUUUCUUGUUUACGAGUACAUGGAAAAGGGAAGCUUGUUUUGUGCCUUGAGAAAUGAUGUUGGAGCUGUGGAAUUGAAGUGGAUGAAAAGAGCACACAUCAUCGAAGACAUUGCUCACGCAUUAUCUUACUUGCAUCAUGAGUGCAACCCACCAAUUGUUCAUCGAGACAUAUCAAGCAGCAAUGUUCUGUUGAAUUCAGAAUCCAAGUCUUUUGUUGCUGAUUUUGGUGUGGCUAGACUUCUAGAUCCGGAUUCGUCCAACCAUACUGUACUUGCUGGUACCUAUGGAUACAUUGCCCCAGGUAAAAAUAUUUCUUCUUAACAUACAUAUUUACCACUCAUGCACUGCAUAACUAAAGCAAACUCUCUGUUUUUUUUUUUUAUAUAUAUUUUUUAAUUUCGUUUUGUAUAUGGACAGAGUUGGCUUAUACUAUGGUGGUGACAGAGAAAUGUGAUGUGUACAGCUUCGGAGUUGUGGCGCUUGAAACUUUGAUGGGAAGGCAUCCGGGAGAUAUCCUAUCAUCAUCUGCUCAGGCUAUUACACUGAAAGAAGUGUUAGAUCCUCGUUUGCCACCUCCAACAAAUGAGAUUGUCAUACAGAAUAUAUGUACCAUUGCAAGUCUGAUAUUUUCUUGCUUACAUUCAAAUCCAAAAAAUCGACCUUCAAUGAAAUUCGUGUCUCAAGAAUUUCUAUCUCCCAAGAGAUUAUUGGGAGGUCUCGAGAUUUCUUUGUUGGAGCUGCGAAAUCUUGACAUGCACACAAAUGUUGGUGAGAUCACAGUUCCUCGCUGAAAAAGUUGUUGGAUUGGUUGCCAUUAAUGUGCAGCAACCAUUAAUGGACGGCACCGUCCAUUGACAAAUGCAGCAGCCCUUCCGGAAUGUCAAAGGUUGGCAGCCACCAUUGUUGAAGAUGGGCUGGAGUUGGUGGCCACCAUUGUUGACAAAAGAGCUGGAGGAGCUGUCAUGGAUGCCUAUAAAUAGAGGCAUACAUUAGAGAGCAAAAUGAGAGAGUGUGUAGAGCCAAAGAUGUGAGAAAUGUAGGAGAGAGUGGGCUGCCAAGGCAGCCAGCAGUAGCUACCAUUGCAACACUGAAAAGAGAGAAAUAGAGUGAGGUUGAGAGUUGCCAAAGAGGGGAUGAUUCCUCCUCCUCUAUUGUUGUAAAUCUUGUUCUCUCCCUAUAUAAUCAAAUGGCUUCUCCCGUGGAUGUAGGCGGUUUGCCGAACCACGUUAAAUAUUGUGUCAGUGUGCUUAGCCUCCAAUGGGCAAAUAUCAGAACAUCACCGGUCAGAAUUCCCUACAAUUGGUAUCAGAGCAUAUGGUUUGAAGUGGUGUUUGAUUUUUGCUAAAAAAUGAAAGUUGUCAAAAUUGUGUUUUGACCAUACCACUGUGUAGAGGAGGACGAGACGAAGCCACUGGUGAAAACGGCGUCAAAAUCGGACGUCGGACAUGGCCGCACUCUCCAUCACUCUCCGGUAAGGCGUCUGCCUACGCGCCCUACGCGUGCCACGCGUCUUUUUCGCCCGGAUGGGCUGACCCGACCCGAAUACCAGUUGACCCGACUCACAUGGCUGACCCGGAUAUUAAUUACGUCAGCAUGACAUAAUUGUGAUGUCAGCAUGCACAGUAGGCAUGCCAGGGAUGACAUCAGCCUGAUGUAAGUGUGAUGUCAGCAUGCACAGUAGGCAUGCCAUGUCAGCGCCCAGUCAGCUGCCACGUCAGCACAGUGGGACCACCUGCCACGUCAUCAGCCGCGAGCCGAGCUGAGUUGAGCCGAGCCAGUUGGAGCCGAGCUGAGUGGGAGCCGAGCCGCGAGCCGAGGGAUAGGAUCCAGCGUAGCGGAUCCUACGUGCAACCGGAUCUGAGAUUGAAUCUGAGCCGUUUAUCAGGCCAGAAUUGUUUUGAUCAAAUCUUAGCCGUCUGAAAUGCGAUUUGGAUGAUUUCAGACUUGUUUUCAGCUAAUUUGAUCAUUCUGGAUGCAAUGGUACGGUCCGAUCGUUGAGAUUGAGACUAGAAAUGAUGAUGGUGAAGUAUUAAGAGAGAUUGCCCGAUCAGGAGGCAUCUGAAGGUCAUCGUGGUGGUCGAUGGAGAUGAAGAAGAAGAAUCGCACAUGUUUACCCAAUUACAUGUGCUGAACUGCUAAGUGGGGAGAAAUUUUAAUUGCCUUGAGGGAAGGCAAAAUUGGGAUACUCUGGACACCUGAUCAUGUGGAUAAUUUGAGGUGAAGAGUGGAAAUUGAUGAAGACCAAUCUUGACGAAUCUAAGAACUGGUAGUCUCGCCAGAUGUUGAGAAAUCAGGUAUAAAACCGGGAUACCCCAGAUCACUUGUAAAGGAAAGCCGCAACAAAGCUAGCAAAUGGUUGUAUAUACGAAAAGGCAGUAUGGUGGAUAGAUACGUUCUAAGAAGUUCUGUCUAGGAGAUUGGGUUUUAAGCUGGACCAGUGUGACCCCUCCAAAUCUUUCCUGGGAACUUGCUUAGUUGAAGGAUCAUCCACACAGUACUAUUUUUAUAUAUGUAACAGUUUGUAAUGAAACUGUUGAAGACUAGCAAGAUGACGGCACAAAGGAACAGUUGGGUUCUGUAUGUUCAAGGAUCUGAUGGAGUGGUGAUUUCUCCAAAGAAGUUAGAUUCGGUGACUGUAAUUUCUCGAAGGGAGAAUUGAUGAAGACCCUGAUAAUGGAAGAGAAAUACACAAAGAGAUAAAGAUUGGCACCCUAUUUUGACUUGGAUAAAUGUUGUGACAGGAUGAGCUGCUGUCAAACAUAAAAGCAAAGAAUAGGGAGAAAUCUGGAGAACCGAAAUUGCACGAGAGCACACGGAGAUUGUGCAGGAGUACCCGAAGGAUCCAACGAGGUACUGUAAUGAGACAACAGAUGCAAGGAGAAGAAGAGUUCCCAGAUGAAGCUCAGAGCAGAGACUGUGUGAAAAGUUGUACAACAGGAAGUCUCUUGUGCUCUUGAUAAAGGCAACAAGCGAGGACCUUUCCAAUGCAUGCAAGGAUGGAAAGAUGAGCUGUUGCAGAAGCACUUAUUAAGGGGGUGCGACCGCCGAUGAAAGGCGAAGACACCAAAGAGAGUUGGUGUGGGAGGAGCUAUCAAGCAGAAAGGCAUAGAAGCUCCAAACAUAGAAAAUGAGAUUGCGAAGAGUGCACCACAACUCUCUCUUUCUAUGUGAUCAGUGACAAUGAUCUCUCCCAAGUCCACAUGGUGGUAGAGAAUCUUAGAGCCACUGGAGACAUCCCCGAUGAAGGAGGAUGUGACCGCUUCAUGACGGACGGAGACACCUCAGGCAGAAGGUGUGUGGGCCAUAAAACGAGCCCAAGUACAAACCGCCACAUGACGAUGAGCGGAGACACCUCAGGCAGAAGGUGUGUGGGCCAUGAAACUAGCCCAAGUAGAAACCACCGCAUGACGACGAGCAGAGACACCUCGGAUGGAAGGUGUGAGGACCAUGACAUGAGUCCAAGUUCAGACCGUCUCAUGACGACAGGCGGAGACACCUCGGAUGGAAGGUGUGAGGACCAUGAUAUGAGUCCAAGUUCAGACCGUCUCAUGACGACAGGCGAAGACACCUCAGAUAAAAGGUGUGGGGACCAUGAUAUGAGUAUUUUUCGGAUGGGGAAACCCGCUGUCUGGAAUUCAACGACCNNNNNNNNNNNNNNNNNNNNNNNNNNNNNNNNNNNNNNNNNNNNNNNNNNNNNNNNNNNNNNNNNNNNNNNNNNNNNNNNNNNNNNNNNNNNNNNNNNNNNNNNNNNNNNNNNNNNNNNNNNNNNNNNNNNNNNNNNNNNNNNNNNNNNNNNNNNNNNNNNNNNNNNNNNNNNNNNNNNNNNNNNNNNNNNNNNNNNNNNNNNNNNNNNNNNNNNNNNNNNNNNNNNNNNNNNNNNNNNNNNNNNNNNNNNNNNNNNNNNNNNNNNNNAUGAUGGCUGGAUAUAAGUGGACAAAUGUAUAGCCAAUAAAGAGGCUAUGAUGAGUAUGGAGACAAAUGCAGGAUUGAUUUUCAUGGAUAUUGCCCCCAUGCUAAAGAUCAAUGAGCUAGAAGACAUUUGCCUUGGACAAUAAGUGGAUGGCUUGUGGAGCAUUAAGACGCGACUGCUAUGAAGGAGCAGAGGGCAUGCGCAGGUUCCGGGAACAAGUUGACUCUUGUCAAGGUGGUGAGCUCAGUAAUGACAUUAUAAUACUCAGAGUAUGAAGAUAGAGAUGAAUCAACCUUUAAUGGGCUGUCCCCAUGGUUAAAAGGGAGAGCCACCUGGACUCUUGAGACUAAGAGCGGAAGACUCACGGAAAAGUAAGGCGUGGUUCCUAGGGAGGAACAAAGAGCAGACGCAACUCCGGGAUGAGUAGACUCUUGGAAGAGUGGUGAGCUUGUGAUCACAUUAAAAUACUCAAUGACUGUCGCACUUGGAAAUAUCCGUUUGAGGGGGUGUUGUAAGCCUUGGUGUAAGGCUUGAUAAAUCAUUCCGGGCCAAGCAUGGUUGAUAUGCUUGAAGGGGGAUGUUGUUCCAGAGACAAGCGUUAAACACUCUUCAGAUGAGAUAUGACAAACCAUCUGGUUGAAGUGAUCCUUUGGAGUGAGCAAAGGGGUGCUUGGAUGACUCUGGUGAUUGAAAGGUUUGGCAAGUACCUGGAAACUUGGCCAAAGACGCUCUCAAAAUUGUAAGCUUGGAAGAGCUGCAGAAUGCAAGCAUGUGCUGAAAAAGCAAGAGGACAAUUGCCCACAUAAAUGGCAAAGGGGGUGAUUGUUGGGUUGGUUGCCAUUAAUGUGCAGCAACCAUUAAUGGACGGCACCGUCCAUUGACAAAUGCAGCAGCCCUUCCGGAAUGUCAAAGGUUGGCAGCCACCAUUGUUGAAGAUGGGCUGGAGUUGGUGGCCACCAUUGUUGACAAAAGAGCUGGAGGAGCUGUCAUGGAUGCCUAUAAAUAGAGGCAUACAUUAGAGAGCAAAAUGAGAGAGUGUGUAGAGCCAAAGAUGUGAGAAAUGUAGGAGAGAGUGGGCUGCCAAGGCAGCCAGCAGUAGCUGCCAUUGCAGCACUGAAAAGAGAGAAAUAGAGUGAGGUUGAGAGUUGCCAAAGAGGGGAUGAUUCCUCCUCCUCUAUUGUUGUAAAUCUUGUUCUCUCCCUAUAUAAUCAAAUGGCUUCUCCCGUGGAUGUAGGCGGUUUGCCGAACCACGUUAAAUAUUGUGUCAGUGUGCUUAGCCUCCAAUGGGCAAAUAUCAGAACAUCACCGGUCGGAAUUCCCUACAAAAGUCAACUUCGAGCUCACAUGGAACUUCAACGAGAGCCUCCAAGAGCAUGCGUUUAUAGUAUUUCUUAAAUUUGGAUGAACUGUUUGUUCUUUUGUUUUGUUUUAGCACACUACAUGUCUUUGUAAUUUUAAUAAUGCACACUUUUCUUUUGCAUGAUAGUAUCAAUAUACAUGAGCAUCAUAUUAAGUCUACCUCUCUGUACGUCUAGGUUAAAUUGAAAUCAUCACUCAUCUUAUAAUUAGGCAAAUCCACACUUGAAAUAUGCAGAAGAUAUUUGUUAACUCCAUUAAUUUGUCCCUGCAAGCUCUUGUAUAAUAGAUGCCUGAAAGCAGUGUUUGGAUCUACUCUCUACAGUCUGUUCUGACUCCUGUCACUAUCUGAGCAACAUGUUUUGCUCUUUUUUUUUUUCUGAAUCAAGCACCUUAUUAUUUAUCAUUGGGCACAGACGGAAUUUUCAAUCAUCUUCCACUCCAAAGGAAGAUUUACGUCUCAUGUUUGGAACCAAGCUUUGACUUCAAAGAAUGGUGAAUUGAGAUGUCCUCCCUCCACCAUAUCUAUCUAGUAGUAAUACACAACAUUGUGCGUAGCUGUACAGGAUGCCUAGCUAUAGAUUAUUUUCAGUCUCAGAGACAUUUACUAACAGAGAAAAUAUAUCAUAGUAUCCGAUUAUGAGCACAUGAUUUCUUCGUAUCAGCAUCUGAUUUAUAAAAGAUUGAAACCAAUUUUUAAAGUUGCAACUGUCCUGAUGCUCUUAGACAAGCCAGGAAAAAAAAAUUAUUUGGAGCAUCAUAUUUUUCCAUAGAUCGUAUAUGCUAAAUGUUUUACAUGGUGUAAUUAUAACAAAUGAUUAUAUGACAGUUCAUAUUCACCUGCAUGAAAGCUCUAUAUAUAUACCCAUUAAUUAUCUUGGUGACAAUUGACAAGUCGCCGAUGCAAUUCUGCAAUUAUAUUAGAAUGCAAGGAUAAUAUAUUUAUUUAGGAUUUUAUUAAUUAUCCCAUGGCUGUAUAUAUAUUCAAUAAUUUUCUUUAAUGAUUACAGCCCCGCAUCAGUUUCUUUCUUGUUCGAGGCCUUCAAUUGAACCUAAACAAAAACAAACUAUACAAACAUGUAUACGAAACGAAGCCCAAGCAGCUAUUGGCUAAGUCUUUUUAUACCAGCGCGGUAUUUCUAAUUCUUGCAAGAAUCGUACAGGACUGGAGGGUAAUAUCACUAACAAUCCAUUUUUUAUUUUACUAUAAUUAUUUUUUAUUUGAAAAUAUAUUUAAAUAAUUUUUUUUGUAUUUUUAAAAUUUUAUUUUUAACAUAGCUCAUCAAAAAAAUCUAAAAUCAUAAAAAAAUAAUUUAAAGCAAAAACAUAAAAUAAAAUAAUUAUUUUUUUAAAUGCUUUUAAAACUAAAAAAUAAACAACAAACUAGGUCUAAAAUUACGAGAAUACACAAACAUUGUAAUAUUAUUAAUUUUAAUUUAUACUACUUUUUUGUUCUUAUCUUUAUUCUUUUGUAAUUUGUUUUCUUGAAAUAUUAUUAUAUAAAGACUAAAAAAAUGAUGUUUCAAUAUAGUAAUUGUCACAUUGUUUCAUUUUUAUACUGCAUUAAAAAUAAGCUUGAGAUCUUGCAUUUCUUUACCAACUCAUAUGAUCUUCACUGAAUUUUAUUAUAUGUAAGUUUUGACUUUUUAUUUCACAAUUAUAUUGUUUACUCGCCGUCAAAAAACACAUUAAUUCAUUUACGUUAGAAAAAAAAAAAUCAACUUGCAGCUGGACAAAUAUAAUAGACACGUUAACAUUUUUUCCUGUAUUUAUCUGAAGAGAUGAUUCUCGAUUUAUUUAAUUAAAUGCAUGUAUAUGCCUUUCGAUUUACAAUUAGAUUUAUUUUUGUACAAAAACACAUUUGAAAAGCUUGCAUAUGUUUUUUCUUCAAAAAAAAUUAUCUAACCCGUAGAGAAGUGCAUGUCAAAUAACUAGUAGUAUAAACUAAAAGAAGCGAUGAUUUUACUAUACGUCACCUCACAAAACACUAUUCAUUCUAAUAGUGCUUUCCCCCUUUUUUUUUUUCAAACUUAUGUUUUUUCUAAUUUCAUACUUUAACAUUUAGUUUCUUGGAGAUUGAGCUUCGUAAUUUAUUUUGAUUUGCUUUAUACAUGGGUCUAGUCUUAUAAUCUAUGUCAAAGGUUUGGCGGGUUAACUCGGUUGAUUCGAGUUUUUUUUUUAAUUGAUAUUUUUUUUUCAAUCUCAUCCUUCAACAUUGUGUUGAUUGAGAAUUGUGCUUCAUGAUUUUUUUUGGUUUGUUUUUUAUGAGGUUAUCUCAAUUUCAUGACUCAAGUUGCGAGUUUGGCUGGUUAACCUAGUUGACUCGAGUUUUUUUUGUAUUUAUUAAUUGAUAUUUUUCCAAUUUCAUCUUUCAGCAUUAAGUUGAUUAUGAAUUAAGCUUCAUGAUUUAUUCUGAUUUGUUUUCUAUGAGUUGAUUCCAGUCUUAUGACUUGGAUCACGUGUUUUACAGGUUACCCGUGUAGACUGAGGUCGUUUUAUUAUAUCCAGUUUUUAGAUUGAUUUUUUCUCUCUUCAAUUUCAACUUUCAGCAAUGGGUUUAUUGAAAAUCAAAUUUCAUAAUUUAUUUUGAUUUAUUUUCUAUGACUCAUGUUAUUUUUUUAUUUACUUUCUAUAAGGUUAUCCUGAUUUCUUGAUCCGGAUCACGAGUUUGACAGUUUAACUCAAGUCAUUUUUUUGUCAUUUUUUAUUUUCUUUUUAUUUUAUCCUUUAAUAUUUGUUUGAUUUGAAAUCAGACUUCAUAUUUUUUUUGGUCUUGCUUUCUAUAAAAUUAUCAUGGUUUCAUUAUCAAGGUCACAAUUUGGCAAGUUAACCCAGGUUGACUAAGGUUUUUUUUGUUUUUAUUUUUUUUAAUUUCAUCCCUAAAUAAUGAGAUUUCUUAUCUCGAGUCGCAGGUUAACUCAGGUUUGUUUGCCAUUUUUUUAGUUUAAUUUUUUUUCUUAAUUUUAUCCUUCAAUAUUUGGUUGACUGGGGAUUAAACUUCAUAUUUGUUUUUGCUUUCUAUGAGGUUAUCUCGGUCUUAUUACAUAGGUCACGAGUCUGGCUGGUUAACCUGAAUUAACUCAAUUUUUUUAAUUGAUUUUUUUUAAUUUCAUCCUUUAAUAUUGGAUUGAUCGAGAAUUGAACUUCAUAAUUUAUUUUGAUUUAUUUUAUAUAGAGUUAUUUCUAUCAUAUGAUCCAGAUGAUAGGUUUGACAGGUUAAUAAGAAUUAACACAAAUUAUUUAUUUUUUAAUUUUUUUAAUUAAUUUUUUUUAAUUUUAUCAUUUAAUAGUUAUUUAAUUUGAAAUUAAGUUAUCUCUUCACAGUGCCCUCAAUUAUUUCUUCAUAAAGUCUGAGAUAUCUCUUCACAUUGCCCUCAAUUAUUUGGUUGUGUCAUCUAGCAGGACUCUUCUGAGAACGAGAGAGAUUUCUUUGGAUCUGAUGAUUUUGGUCUAAAGCCAAUCAGAACAGAAUCCACGGCAACAACGAAUAAUUUCCAGAAAAAGAGUAUAUUUUUUGAAGAAUCUGUUGCAGGUUCUCCAAUGUCAAGAUUUGGCAACUCUCCAAGGUUCAGCGAAGCAGGGGACCAUUUUGACAAUUACUCGAGAUUUGAUUCUUUCAGCAUGAAUGAAGGGGGCUUUUCACCACGAGAAGAGCUUACAAGGUUCGACUCCAUAAACAGUUCCAAAGAUUUUGGCCACAGUCGUGCAUUCUCUUCAUUUGAUGAUGGAGAUCCAUUUGGCUCCAGUGCCCCCUUUAAGGUUUCAUCUGAAGAUCAAACUACCAAAAAGAGUUCUGGCAAUUGGAGUUCUUUCUAGCAGCAAUCUGGUUUUCCCCUCCCUCUCUCUCUCUCCAUUUUUUUUUACGGUUGCCAAUUUUUGUUUGUGCUGUAUAGAUUGUGUUGAAAUGCUGCAUUGUUGUAAAGUUAUUCAUCAUGGCCUUGCGUCAUUUUUAUUUUGCUGAAGUAAAAAAACUUUGUUUGGGGAGCAUCCAGAUAAAAGAUAGAAUGCUUGUUCUUUUGAGUGGCAAAUUCUUGAGACCAAUAAAAACUGAGUAGUUUGAGAAAACAAUGAUUCUUGGCAUUCCAUCAACUCACAUUGCUCAAAUUGCAUUUUAUUUGAAGCUGCCUGCUUCACUAUGACUGUUGGCAUUCCCUUUCUUCAUUUUUAAUUUUUGGUGCUACGAGUUGUUUAACAAUGUAAGCUAGGCAGUAAACACCGGUUUUGGAGGCGCGUGACCUUCCUUAAGGGUUUUGACCACGCGCUUCCUUGGAUAUUUCUAUUAUCCAGAUGAGCUCGGCUACUAGGCCGUGUCUGAAUGAGAUUAUGGGCUCGUUAGCUGGGCCUUUUCCAUAUUGGAAAGUUCUGGACUCUUAUUGGGUUUUGCAUGUUGGAUUUGGCUCCGAUUAGAUGAUUUUUUGGUGAAUCUAUUUUAUCUAUAACGUAGUAAGUAAAUAGCUAUUCCCGGAAUAAUAAAGGAAUGUUGAAGUUGAUUCGGCUUUU